RNAcentral lists this ribosomal RNA (497 nucleotides) under uncultured bacterium. RNAcentral's name for it is "partial 16S ribosomal RNA". It matches the Rfam family "Bacterial small subunit ribosomal RNA", at positions 28 to 507 of the family's 1533-position model. The record is from RNAcentral.
GAUGAACGCUGGCGGCGUGCCUAAUACAUGCAAGUCAAGCGAACGGACGAGAAGCUUGCUUCUCUGAUGUUAGCGGCGGACGGGUGAGUAACACGUGGAUAACCUACCUAUAAGACUGGGAUAACUUCGGGAAACCGGAGCUAAUACCGGAUAAUAUUUUGAACCGCAUGGUUCAAAAGUGAAAGACGGUCUUGCUGUCACUUAUAGAUGGAUCCGCGCUGCAUUAGCUAGUUGGUAAGGUAACGGCUUACCAAGGCAACGAUGCAUAGCCGACCUGAGAGGGUGAUCGGCCACAUUGGAACUGAGACACGGUCCAGACUCCUACGGGAGGCAGCAGUAGGGAAUCUUCCGCAAUGGGCGAAAGCCUGACGGAGCAACGCCGCGUGAGUGAUGAAGGUCUUCGGAUCGUAAAACUCUGUUAUUAGGGAAGAACAUAUGUGUAAGUAACUGUGCACAUCUUGACGGUACCUAAUCAGAAAGCCACGGCUAACUACGUG